CGCGAAUAGCUCAUUACAACAGCUAUAAUUUACUUGAUCUUGACACAAUCCUACUUGGAUAACUGUGGUAAUUCUAGAGCUAAUACAUGCAUUAAAGCUCUGACCUCACGGGAAGAGUGCAUUUAUUAGAACAAAACCAAGCGGCUUCGGCUGUUUCUGGUUGACUCAUAGUAACUGAGCUGAUCGCAUGGUCUUGCACCGGCGACGUGUCUUUCAAGUAUCUGCCGUAUCAACUUUCGAUGGUAGUGUAUCUGACUACCAUGGUGAUCACGCGUAACGGAGAAUAAGGGUUCGACUCCGGAGAGUUCGCCUGAGAAAUCGCGAACACAUCUAAGGAAGGCAGCAGGCGCGAAAAUUACCCACUCUCAGCACGAGGAGGUAGUGACGAAAAAUAACGAGACCGUUCUCUUUCGAGGCCGGUCAUCGGAAUGGGUACGAUUUAAACCCUUUAACGAGUAUCUAUGAGAGGGCAAGUCUGGUGCCAGCAGCCGCGGUAAUUCCAGCU
RNAcentral lists this ribosomal RNA (505 nucleotides) under Cephalobus persegnis. Its description in RNAcentral is "SSU rRNA". It matches the Rfam family "Eukaryotic small subunit ribosomal RNA", at positions 88 to 590 of the family's 1831-position model. Lineage: Eukaryota; Metazoa; Nematoda; Chromadorea; Rhabditida; Cephalobidae. The record is from RNAcentral.